UGGCACUUCGUUGAAAUUUGAGGGGUUCCAAAUUUGAGAGAUCAGUCAUAUCCAGAAGCAUCAUUAAGAGAAGAAAGCAAGAACCAACAAAGAAACACUACUGUGUUUGGCCAUUUAUUACAAUAAGUCUAUCUUCUUACAUAGCGAAACAUAAAAUAAUACACACUUUUUGAAUGAUUCGAUCACUCCAAUAAAAAGAUUGAAGAAAGUUCAAAAGGAAAGACUUAAAGAGACUGAGCAAAGACUUAAGCUAAAGUUAAUACAGACCCCUUUGAGAUUGGGUUUAUCUUAUAAGAUCUCAACAACCGUCGACUGUAAUACCAGCUUCCACGUUUCUUCAUCUUCAUCGUCCCUUGCAUAUUCUCGAACAAUAAUAUCUCCAUUCCUAUGAUUUUCUCUACAUAACUUCUGUUAUUUUAAUGUGGAGAAUCAUCGUGGAUGAAUUAAACUUAAAAAGUUAUUUUUUACUCUUUCUUAGAAAAAAAGUUGU
This 490-nucleotide long non-coding RNA is filed under the name Brassica napus (rape). RNAcentral describes it as "long non-coding RNA (BNAP_LNC020593)". The record is from RNAcentral. Lineage: Eukaryota; Viridiplantae; Streptophyta; Magnoliopsida; Brassicales; Brassicaceae.